RNAcentral lists this ribosomal RNA (406 nucleotides) under uncultured Citrobacter sp. RNAcentral's name for it is "bacterial SSU rRNA". It matches the Rfam family "Bacterial small subunit ribosomal RNA", at positions 976 to 1382 of the family's 1533-position model. The record is from RNAcentral. Lineage: Bacteria; Pseudomonadati; Pseudomonadota; Gammaproteobacteria; Enterobacterales; Enterobacteriaceae.
UACUCUUGACAUCCAGAGAACUUAGCAGAGAUGCUUUGGUGCCUUCGGGAACUCUGAGACAGGUGCUGCAUGGCUGUCGUCAGCUCGUGUUGUGAAAUGUUGGGUUAAGUCCCGCAACGAGCGCAACCCUUAUCCUUUGUUGCCAGCGGUUAGGCCGGGAACUCAAAGGAGACUGCCAGUGAUAAACUGGAGGAAGGUGGGGAUGACGUCAAGUCAUCAUGGCCCUUACGAGUAGGGCUACACACGUGCUACAAUGGCAUAUACAAAGAGAAGCGACCUCGCGAGAGCAAGCGGACCUCAUAAAGUAUGUCGUAGUCCGGAUUGGAGUCUGCAACUCGACUCCAUGAAGUCGGAAUCGCUAGUAAUCGUGGAUCAGAAUGCCACGGUGAAUACGUUCCCGGGCCUU